CUACGGAGGGUGCGAGCGUUGUUCGGAAUUAUUGGGCGUAAAGAGCAUGUAGGCGGUCUGUUAAGUCUGGUGUGAAAGCCCGGGGCUCAACCCCGGAAGUGCAUUGGAUACUGGCAGACUUGAGUAUGAGAGAGGAAAGCGGAAUUCCGAGUGUAGGAGUGAAAUCCGUAGAUAUUCGGAGGAACACCAGUGGCGAAGGCGGCUUUCUGGACCAAUACUGACGCUGAGAUGCGAAAGCGUGGGGAGCGAACAGAAUUAGAUACCCUAGUAGUCC
Molecule: ribosomal RNA, 274 nt
Filed under: uncultured bacterium
Lineage: Bacteria
Description: partial 16S ribosomal RNA
Rfam family: Bacterial small subunit ribosomal RNA
Source: RNAcentral